GCUGGGCGUGGUGGUGCAUGCCUGUAAUCCCAGCUACUCAGGAGGCUGAGGCAGGAGAAUUGCUUGAACCUGGGAGAUGGAGGGUGUAGUGAGCUGAGAUCAUGCCACUGCAUUCCAACCCGGGUGACACAGCAAGACUCUGUCUCAA
Molecule: unclassified non-coding RNA, 148 nt
Organism: Callithrix jacchus (white-tufted-ear marmoset)
Lineage: Eukaryota; Metazoa; Chordata; Mammalia; Primates; Cebidae
Rfam family: Metazoan signal recognition particle RNA
About the family: The signal recognition particle (SRP) is a universally conserved ribonucleoprotein.
Source: Ensembl